RNAcentral lists this ribosomal RNA (789 nucleotides) under Triticum aestivum (bread wheat). RNAcentral describes it as "partial small subunit ribosomal RNA". The record is from RNAcentral. Lineage: Eukaryota; Viridiplantae; Streptophyta; Magnoliopsida; Poales; Poaceae.
AUGGACGCCGGCGGCGAUGCUACCGAGAGCAAGGAGCAUUUUGUCCUAGUGCACGGUGCCGGCCACGGCGCCUGGUGCUGGUUCAGGCUCCUGCCCCUGCUCCGGGGCUCCGGCCACCGCGUCUCCUGCGUCGACCUUGCUGGGGCAGCCGGCAGCCGCGUCGACCCCGGCUCUGUCCGGUCGUUCGACGAGUACACCGCGCCGCUCGUCGACCUCCUGUCCGCGCUGCCAGACGGCGAAAAGGUGAUUUUGGUUGGGCACAGCGCAGGAGGGCUAAGUGUGACCCAUGCAAUGCAUUUAUUCAGCGACAGGAUUAAGCAGGCAAUCUUCAUAGCAGCAACCAUGCUCCCGUUUGGCUACCAAACGGAACAAGACAUCAAAGAUGGCGUACCUGAUUUAUCCGAGUUCGGGGACGUGUAUGACCUAGCAUUUGGUCUUGGAAUGGAUCACCCGCCAACGAGUGCAGCACUGCGGCCAGAGUUCCAGCGCAUGAUCCUGUCCCAGCAAAGCCCCCAAGAGGACUCUGCGCUUGCCUCCAUCCUACUCCGUCCAUGGCCUGCCGCCUUGAGCGCAGCCAGGUUUGGGAGAGGCGGCGGGGACAGCAGCGCGAUCGACCAGGUGCGGCGCGUGUACAUAACAACGGCAAAGGAUUGCAUGGUGAAGCCGGAGCAGCAGGAGGCGAUGAUUCACCGGUGGCCACCGAGCAAGGUUGUGGCCAUGGACACCGACCACAGCCCCUUCUUCUCCGCACCGGAGCGUCUCUUUCAGCUCAUUGUCAAGUUACCGUGA